GGUUGAUCCUGCCAGUAGUCAUAUGCUUGUCUCAAAGAUUAAGCCAUGCAUGUCUAAGUAUAAACAUCUUUAUACAGUGAAACUGCGUACAGCUCAUUAUAUCAGUUAUUAUUUAUUUGAUGGUGCCUUACUACAUGGAUACCCGUAGUAAUUCUAGAGCUAAUACAUGCGUCAAAUCCCGACUCUUUGGAAGGGAUGUAUUUAUUAGAUUAAAAACCAAUGUCAAUGCAAAUUGACUUCUCUUGGUGAUUCAUAGUAACUUUACGGAUCGUACGACUUUAUGUUGACGACA
RNAcentral lists this ribosomal RNA (292 nucleotides) under uncultured eukaryote. RNAcentral's name for it is "partial 18S ribosomal RNA". It matches the Rfam family "Eukaryotic small subunit ribosomal RNA", at positions 6 to 292 of the family's 1831-position model. The record is from RNAcentral.